GGUCAAGUGAAGAAGCGCAUACGGUGGAUGCCUUGGCAGUCAGAGGCGAUGAAAGACGUGGUAGCCUGCGAAAAGCUUCGGGGAGUCGGCAAACAGACUUUGAUCCGGAGAUGUCUGAAUGGGGGAACCCAGCCAUCAUAAGAUGGUUAUCUUGUACUGAAUACAUAGGUGCAAGAAGCGAACCAGGGGAACUGAAACAUCUAAGUACCCUGAGGAAAAGAAAUCAACCGAGAUUCCCUUAGUAGUGGCGAGCGAACGGGGACUAGCCCUUAAGUGGCUUUGAGAUUAGCGGAACGCUCUGGAAAGUGCGGCCAUAGUGGGUGAUAGCCCUGUACGCGAAAAUCUCUUAGUCAUGAAAUCGAGUAGGACGGAGCACGAGAAACUUUGUCUGAAUAUGGGGGGACCAUCCUCCAAGGCUAAAUACUACUGACUGACCGAUAGUGAACUAGUACCGUGAGGGAAAGGCGAAAAGAACCCCGGAGAGGGGAGUGAAAUAGAUCCUGAAACCGUAUGCGUACAAGCAGUGGGAGCCCACUUUGUUGGGUGACUGCGUACCUUUUGUAUAAUGGGUCAGCGACUUAUUUUCAGUGGCGAGCUUAACCGAAUAGGGGAGGCGUAGCGAAAGCGAGUCUUAAUAGGGCGUCUAGUCGCUGGGAAUAGACCCGAAACCGGGCGAUCUAUCCAUGGGCAGGUUGAAGGUUGGGUAACACUAACUGGAGGACCGAACCGACUACCGUUGAAAAGUUAGCGGAUGACCUGUGGAUCGGAGUGAAAGGCUAAUCAAGCUCGGAGAUAGCUGGUUCUCCUCGAAAGCUAUUUAGGUAGCGCCUCAUGUAUCACUGUAGGGGGUAGAGCACUGUUUCGGCUAGGGGGUCAUCCCGACUUACCAAACCGAUGCAAACUCCGAAUACCUACAAGUGCCGAGCAUGGGAGACACACGGCGGGUGCUAACGUCCGUCGUGAAAAGGGAAACAACCCAGACCGUCAGCUAAGGUCCCAAAGUUAUGGUUAAGUGGGAAACGAUGUGGGAAGGCUUAGACAGCUAGGAGGUUGGCUUAGAAGCAGCCACCCUUUAAAGAAAGCGUAAUAGCUCACUAGUCGAGUCGGCCUGCGCGGAAGAUGUAACGGGGCUCAAACCAUACACCGAAGCUACGGGUAUCACGUAAGUGAUGCGGUAGAGGAGCGUUCUGUAAGCCUGUGAAGGUGAGUUGAGAAGCUUGCUGGAGGUAUCAGAAGUGCGAAUGCUGACAUGAGUAACGAUAAUGGGUGUGAAAAACACCCACGCCGAAAGACCAAGGUUUCCUGCGCAACGUUAAUCGACGCAGGGUUAGUCGGUCCCUAAGGCGAGGCUGAAAAGCGUAGUCGAUGGAAAACAGGUUAAUAUUCCUGUACUUCUGGUUAUUGCGAUGGAGGGACGGAGAAGGCUAGGCCAGCUUGGCGUUGGUUGUCCAAGUUUAAGGUGGUAGGCUGGAAUCUUAGGUAAAUCCGGGAUUCUAAGGCCGAGAGCUGAUGACGAGUUA
This 1520-nucleotide ribosomal RNA is filed under the name Pseudomonas fluorescens. Its description in RNAcentral is "partial 23S ribosomal RNA". It matches the Rfam family "Bacterial large subunit ribosomal RNA", at positions 1 to 1576 of the family's 2925-position model. The record is from RNAcentral. Lineage: Bacteria; Pseudomonadati; Pseudomonadota; Gammaproteobacteria; Pseudomonadales; Pseudomonadaceae. RNAcentral also lists the same sequence under 1 other name.